ACCUACGGGACGCAGCAGUGGGGAAUAUUGGGCAAUGGGCGCAAGCCUGACCCAGCAACGCCGCGUGAAGGAAGAAGGCUUUCGGGUUGUAAACUUCUUUUCUGAGGGACGAAGAAAGUGACGGUACCUCAGGGAUAAGCCACGGCUAACUACGUGCCAGCAGCCGCGGUAAUACGUAGGUGGCAAGCGUUAUCCGGAUUUAUUGGGUGUAAAGGGCGUGUAGGCGGGAAA
RNAcentral lists this ribosomal RNA (231 nucleotides) under uncultured bacterium. RNAcentral's name for it is "partial 16S ribosomal RNA". It matches the Rfam family "Bacterial small subunit ribosomal RNA", at positions 337 to 582 of the family's 1533-position model. The record is from RNAcentral.